AGUCCAUCUUUUCCUGAUUUGAUUUAGAUAAUCCUGAGGUUAUGGCUGAUUUGUCCAUUUAUGUGAGUAUUCUGCAUCAACGUGCAGCUUCCAGUCUCGAUUAAGAUUGGUCUGGAAGAUUUCCUAGCUCUGCAGAAAUGAAGCACACAAACUCUUUCAUGGAUUCUGUCUUUGGGCAGGAUCUCUGCUGUGGCUGCUUGAUUGGACCUCAGACGUGCACAAGAACCUUUUGGACCAUUCAGUCCCUGAUCCCCAUGGUCCUUUCUGUUUCAUCAGUCCAGACCUGUCACUUCUUGUCACUGCUGACUUUGAGGACAUCAUGUCGAUGAAUAACACAGUUCCUACUAGAUGUCGAGGGAUUUACCAUAUUUCUCUCUCCUUUCGUUCAGAAUUUAAAAAGGCAAAGCAGCAAUCUACAAAGAGAAGUUUUUUCUUUUUCUUGUCACAGUUUCUCUUAGAAAGUGAA
This is a long non-coding RNA of Carassius carassius (crucian carp), 466 nucleotides long. RefSeq lists it as uncharacterized. The record is from RefSeq and is a predicted model, not a curated record. The transcript is spliced from 3 exons. NCBI's taxonomy places the organism in Eukaryota, Metazoa, Chordata, Actinopteri, Cypriniformes, Cyprinidae.